AAAUAGCGCGGCGCGGGCGGUAGUUGCUGUGGUUUCCGUUCUGAGCUCGCAGCUGAAGAUCGCGGCCUUAGCGUUCCCGCGUCCGAGUCCGGCCAUCAGUGGCUGCGGAUCCGGAGGCCAGGAGCUCAACCACCCUUCUUCGGAACAGGGUCGGCCCGCUGCUGUGCCUUGGACGCUCGGUGCCUAUAUCUACUCCGGGGCCUAGGUCGGCUCCGGGGGCGGCUUAGGAGAAGGCCGUCGGCGAGAUGUUCAAAAACACGUUCCAGAGCGGCUUCCUCUCCAUCCUCUACAGCAUCGGCAGCAAGCCUCUGCAAAUCUGGGACAAAAAGGUACGGAAUGGCCACAUCAAAAGAAUCACUGAUAAUGAUAUCCAGUCCCUCGUGCUAGAGAUUGAAGGGACAAAUGUAAGGUAGGUUGCCACCUCUGUUCUCCCAGAGACAUCAUAUACUAGGGAGGCAGUAUGUCACAGAGGUUAAUAGCACAGACUGCGGAGUCAGAGUGCCGGAUGUGAGUCCAUCUCUGCCACUUAGGGCUUACCAUGGGCAAGUUACUGAAUCCCCCAGACCUUAGCAUACUCAUCUGUACAAUGGACAGAAUAAUAGUACAUUUUCCUUAUAGGGUUAUUGCGAGGAGUAAAUAAAUGAAUAUAUAAAAAACACUUAAAGCCUUGCUUAGCACACAGUAAGCACUAUGUCAGUAUUAGCUAUAUUAUUAACCAAAGUA
RNAcentral lists this small RNA (723 nucleotides) under Pongo abelii (Sumatran orangutan). RNAcentral describes it as "retained intron". The record is from RNAcentral. Lineage: Eukaryota; Metazoa; Chordata; Mammalia; Primates; Hominidae.